CAUGAAUAGUGCAACGGCUGUGAUUAGAUGGGGCACACCGCAGCAUAUGGAACAUGCAGGAGGGUGGGCCUCAUCCAAUAACAGCUGUUGCAAUAAUCACAAAUGGCCAUGAUUCACAGACAGGCCUCUCGGGUCCAAGCUGGGACUGGCAAGGAGAAUGCAACAAAUUUGCUUCUAGGAAAAAUUUACUGAUCAUAAGUUUACAAAAUAGUCUUACA
Molecule: long non-coding RNA, 218 nt
Filed under: Elaeis guineensis (African oil palm)
Lineage: Eukaryota; Viridiplantae; Streptophyta; Magnoliopsida; Arecales; Arecaceae
Description: long non-coding RNA (EGUI_LNC048384)
Source: RNAcentral